RNAcentral lists this ribosomal RNA (450 nucleotides) under uncultured Flavobacteriia bacterium. Its description in RNAcentral is "bacterial SSU rRNA". It matches the Rfam family "Bacterial small subunit ribosomal RNA", at positions 45 to 496 of the family's 1533-position model. Lineage: Bacteria; Pseudomonadati; Bacteroidota; Flavobacteriia. The record is from RNAcentral.
GGCCUAACACAUGCAAGUCGAGGGGUAGGCAUCUUCGGAUGUUGAGACCGGCGCACGGGUGCGUAACGCGUAUGCAAUCUACCUUAUACUAAGGGAUAGCCCAGAGAAAUUUGGAUUAAUACCUUAUAGGAUAUCAGAAUGGCAUCAUUUAGAUAUUAAAGAUUUAUUGGUAUAAGAUGAGCAUGCGUCCCAUUAGUUAGUUGGUAAGGUAACGGCUUACCAAGACGAUGAUGGGUAGGGGUCCUGAGAGGGAGAUCCCCCACACUGGUACUGAGACACGGACCAGACUCCUACGGGAGGCAGCAGUGAGGAAUAUUGGUCAAUGGGCGCAAGCCUGAACCAGCCAUGCCGCGUGCAGGAUGACGCAUCUAUGGUGUGUAAACUGCUUUUGUACAGGAAGAAACAUCCCGACGAGUCGGGACUUGACGGUACUGUAAGAAUAAGGAUCGG